AUUGAACGCUGGCGGCAGGCCUAACACAUGCAAGUCGAACGGUAACAGGAAACAGCUUGCUGUUUUGCUGACGAGUGGCGGACGGGUGAGUAAUGUCUGGGUAACUGCCUGAUGGAGGGGGAUAACUACUGGAAACGGUAGCUAAUACCGCAUAACGUCGCAAGACCAAAGAGGGGGACCCUCGGGCCUCUUGCCAUCGGAUGUGCCCAGAUGGGAUGUGCUUGUUGGUGGGGUAACGGCUCACCAAGGCGACGGUCCCUAGCUGGUGUGAGAUGAGGGCCAGCCACACUGGAACUGAGCUACGGUCCAGACUACUACGGGAGGCAGCAGAGGGGAAUAUUGUACAAUGGGCGCAAGCCUGAUGCAGCCAUGCCGCGUGUAUGAAGAAGGCAUUCGGGUUGUAAAGUACUUUCAGCGGGGAGGAAGGGAGUAAAGUUAAUACCGUUGCUCAUUGACGUUACCCGCAGAAGAAGCACCGGCUAACUCCGUG
RNAcentral lists this ribosomal RNA (490 nucleotides) under uncultured bacterium. RNAcentral describes it as "partial 16S ribosomal RNA". It matches the Rfam family "Bacterial small subunit ribosomal RNA", at positions 30 to 507 of the family's 1533-position model. The record is from RNAcentral.